This 254-nucleotide ribosomal RNA is filed under the name uncultured bacterium. Its description in RNAcentral is "partial 16S ribosomal RNA". It matches the Rfam family "Bacterial small subunit ribosomal RNA", at positions 524 to 776 of the family's 1533-position model. The record is from RNAcentral.
UACGUAGGGGGCGAGCGUUGUCCGGAUUUAUUGGGCGUAAAGAGCUCGUAGGCGGUUCGAUAAGUCGGACGUGAAAUCUCCACGCUCGACGUGGAGGGGCCGUUCGAUACUGUCGUGACUCGAGUCCGGUAGGGGAGUGUGGAAUUCCCGGUGUAGCGGUGAAAUGCGCAGAGAUCGGGAGGAACACCCGUAGCGAAGGCGGCACUCUGGGCCGGUACUGACGCUGAGGAGCGAAAGCGUGGGGAGCAAACAGG